RNAcentral lists this microRNA precursor (85 nucleotides) under Erythranthe guttata (spotted monkey flower). RNAcentral's name for it is "Mimulus guttatus (spotted monkey flower) mir-156 microRNA precursor family". It matches the Rfam family "mir-156 microRNA precursor family". From Rfam's summary of the family: This family represents the plant microRNA (miRNA) precursor mir-156. Animal miRNAs are transcribed as ~70nt precursors and subsequently processed by the Dicer enzyme to give a ~22nt product. In plants the precursor sequences may be longer, and the carpel factory (caf) enzyme appears to be involved in processing. Lineage: Eukaryota; Viridiplantae; Streptophyta; Magnoliopsida; Lamiales; Phrymaceae. The record is from Rfam by way of RNAcentral.
CUGACAGAAGAGAGUGAGCAAUCGCAGGCAAUUGUAUAAAGUGUAUAUUUUUGCAUAUGCGAUUGCUCACUUCUCUCUCUGUCAG